RNAcentral lists this ribosomal RNA (692 nucleotides) under Enterococcus sp. FBPers-10_02-25. RNAcentral's name for it is "bacterial SSU rRNA". It matches the Rfam family "Bacterial small subunit ribosomal RNA", at positions 102 to 780 of the family's 1533-position model. Lineage: Bacteria; Bacillati; Bacillota; Bacilli; Lactobacillales; Enterococcaceae. The record is from RNAcentral.
ACGGGUGAGUAACACGUGGGUAACCUGCCCAUCAGAAGGGGAUAACACUUGGAAACAGGUGCUAAUACCGUAUAACAAUCGAAACCGCAUGGUUUUGAUUUGAAAGGCGCUUUCGGGUGUCGCUGAUGGAUGGACCCGCGGUGCAUUAGCUAGUUGGUGAGGUAACGGCUCACCAAGGCCACGAUGCAUAGCCGACCUGAGAGGGUGAUCGGCCACAUUGGGACUGAGACACGGCCCAAACUCCUACGGGAGGCAGCAGUAGGGAAUCUUCGGCAAUGGACGAAAGUCUGACCGAGCAACGCCGCGUGAGUGAAGAAGGUUUUCGGAUCGUAAAACUCUGUUGUUAGAGAAGAACAAGGAUGAGAGUAACUGUUCAUCCCUUGACGGUAUCUAACCAGAAAGCCACGGCUAACUACGUGCCAGCAGCCGCGGUAAUACGUAGGUGGCAAGCGUUGUCCGGAUUUAUUGGGCGUAAAGCGAGCGCAGGCGGUUUCUUAAGUCUGAUGUGAAAGCCCCCGGCUCAACCGGGGAGGGUCAUUGGAAACUGGGAGACUUGAGUGCAGAAGAGGAGAGUGGAAUUCCAUGUGUAGCGGUGAAAUGCGUAGAUAUAUGGAGGAACACCAGUGGCGAAGGCGGCUCUCUGGUCUGUAACUGACGCUGAGGCUCGAAAGCGUGGGGAGCAAACAGGAUUA